AGAGUUUGAUCAUGGCUCAGGACGAACGCUGGCGGCGUGCUUAACACAUGCAAGUCACGGGGGCCCGCAAGNNNNACCGGCGAACGGGUGCGUAACACGUGACCAACCUGCCCUUGUGUGGGGGAUAGCCGGGCUAACGCCCGGGUAAUACCGCAUACGAUCCUUUGGGGGAGUCCCUGGGGGAAGAAAGCUCUGGCGCACGAGGAGGGGGUCGCGGCCUAUCAGCUAGUUGGCGAGGUAAUGGCUCACCAAGGCGACGACGGGUAGCUGGUCUGAGAGGAUGGCCAGCCACAUUGGGACUGAGAAACGGCCCAGACUCCUACGGGAGGCAGCAGUGGGGAAUCUUGCGCAAUGGCCGAAAGGCUGACGCAGCGACGCCGCGUGUGGGAGGACGCCUUUCGGGGUGUAAACCACUGUUGCCCGGGACGAACAGCAUCUUUUCGAGAUGCCUGACGGUACCGGGUGAGGAAGCACCGGCUAACUCCGUGCCAGCAGCCGCGGUAAUACGGAGGGUGCGAGCGUUGUCCGGAAUCAUUGGGCGUAAAGGGCGCGUAGGUGGCCCGGUCAGUUCGUGGUGAAAGCGCGGGGCUCAACUCCGCGUCGGCCAUGAAUACUGCUGGGCUUGAGCACUGUAGAGGCAGGCGGAAUUCCGGGUGUAGCGGUGGAAUGCGUAGAGAUCCGGAAGAACACCGGUGGCGAAGGCGCUGCUGGGCAGUGGCUGACACUGAGNNNCGACAGCGUGGGGAGCGAACAGGAUUAGAUACCCUAGUAGUCC
This 775-nucleotide ribosomal RNA is filed under the name uncultured bacterium. RNAcentral's name for it is "bacterial SSU rRNA". It matches the Rfam family "Bacterial small subunit ribosomal RNA", at positions 8 to 796 of the family's 1533-position model. The record is from RNAcentral.